Trichechus manatus latirostris (Florida manatee) is the source of this 398-nucleotide long non-coding RNA. RefSeq lists it as uncharacterized. The transcript is spliced from 3 exons. Lineage: Eukaryota; Metazoa; Chordata; Mammalia; Sirenia; Trichechidae. The record is from RefSeq and is a predicted model, not a curated record.
UGUCAGUGUUGCAACAGGGUGGGGGCGACUGCAGUAGAAAUAGCCCAGACUGUGGAAACUGUUUCCCACAAAACCACCAUGGCCCGAGCUCUUGGGUGGCUGCUGCUGCUGCUCUUCUGUUCCUGUGCUCAGAGUUUUCUCUGGAGACAGACUCGUGGUGCCUCAUCGAGCAAAGAGAAGCUCCCUGCUGAGGGCUGGUUCUGGCAAAAGUUGGACCAUUUUAGCAAAAAUGAUUCACGUUUAUGGCGACAGAAGCAGGGGAGCAAGUCUAUUUCAUAAUGAGAUAUUUCAUUAAUGAUGCCUUCUACAAACCUGGAGGCCCAGUAUUUCUGAUGAUUGAAGGAUCAGAAACUGCCAGUAGAAACUGGAUAUUAAUGAAUACUACCUGGGUUACAUAU